AGAAGGACCACAGCGACCCGCCAUUGUACUCGGUCACCUACUACAGCGACCACUCGUGCAACAACGCCUUCCUCCCGCUCUCCCCCUCCGAGUUCCAGCUGCGGACAUCGUCCGGGAAGGCCGUCUCCAUCUGCUUCGACUCCUCGUCCGGGGCACCGGCGCAAUAGCCGACGGCCGUGGCGUCCAUCGCCACCAAUGCUAGCGGCGGCUCGCCCUCUUCCAGCGCCGUGGCGGCGCGGCGAGGCACGCCGCCGGAUAUCAGUUACCCGCCCGACCUGCGGCGGUCUGACAUGUACCCGUGGGGCGCCGAUGCCGUGGACCAGAAGCUGGCGUCCUGCGCCACCGAGUGCCACGACGCCUUCUCGGCCGGCGCCGUGCCAGAGGAGGUGGUAGAUGUAGGCAGAUUUGGGUCUGUCAGGUUCUUCCAUUUUUUGUAAAUUCAUCGGUGGAAGGCAACUGAUUUUACUUCGACAAACUAAUAUGAUACAAAUGUUUCUUUUUUUACAUGUCGAAGCUUACUAGAGAUUCGCAUGC
This is an RNA transcript of Zea mays, 534 nucleotides long. RefSeq lists it as uncharacterized. The transcript has a single exon. Lineage: Eukaryota; Viridiplantae; Streptophyta; Magnoliopsida; Poales; Poaceae. The record is from RefSeq and is marked validated.